AAUCCAAAAUUAGGCCCAAAUACUUGAACUGGACUUGACCUUGGCGUUUUGUUUUGUUUUCUAGUGUGCUGUGCUGAUUAGGAGCUGGAUACAUAGGAAGCAUUGGUGAUAUCAGAGAUUGACUGGAUGCCUGAAGCACACAGGCAUUUUGUACAGCAUUGUACCAGGGUGAAAGAAAAAAAGAAAGCAACAGUCUGUAAGUAUUGGACAAACUAUCACGGGAGCUUAAUAGCAUUUUUUUUUCAAUGCUCAGAGGAUGCAAAUGCAAUGGAAUACGGGCACAGUAAUUUUGUUUCUUUUUUUUGUAAGUUGCUAAGAGUAAAAACAAAGCUGAGCUGCUUAUGGAGAACAAAUUAAUCUGCUAAAGUGCAAACAGA
RNAcentral lists this long non-coding RNA (377 nucleotides) under Numida meleagris (helmeted guineafowl). RNAcentral's name for it is "lncRNA (ENSNMEG00000023135.1)". The record is from RNAcentral. Lineage: Eukaryota; Metazoa; Chordata; Aves; Galliformes; Numididae.